Long non-coding RNA from Felis catus (domestic cat), 3949 nucleotides. RefSeq lists it as uncharacterized. The transcript is spliced from 3 exons. The record is from RefSeq and is a predicted model, not a curated record. Lineage: Eukaryota; Metazoa; Chordata; Mammalia; Carnivora; Felidae.
GGCACGGCUCUAUGAGACAAGAAUAGAGAGAAGGUUUCGGACAGAGAGCCAACAGAUGGUAGAGCCAAAACGAUAACAAAUUCAGACUACACUCAUUUUCCAUUUCAACCACUUAAUGGUGAUAAUGAUCAUUAACAUGUGCCGGGCAUCAUUCUGAGCGUUUGAACCAUAAUCUCAUUUAGUCAUGGUAACAGCUUUACCACUCGGGGUAUUAUGAGUACUUCCAUUUCACAGUUUAAGAAACCAAAUUUUGAUUUUGGAACCAAUUACUGAUUUUGGUCAGAGUAAACUGUACUGUCAGGGACCAGAUGCCAGCCUUGUGACACCAAAAGCCUGUGCUCAAAAUGAAUAAGCUUCUACUGGCCAUUCUCAAAACAACAAAGUUUAUCAAUCGAAUCGAAAUUGUGAAAAUAUCUGACAACCAGUUUAAGAAUCAAGUACUUCCAAAAGAUCCAUUCUCUUCCCUCUAUCUGUACCCUGAGGUAAUUGUGGAAAUGAUGUCUGUGCCUAACAAUUAGGAUUACAUUAUAUUAUUCAUAUGUAUUUCAUCCUUAUUCUAAUUAUCACUAUGUUCUAAAUUAAUAAGCAUUUCACUCAGCAUUAAUGCAUACUAGCAGUUUGAAGUGUUAAUUUUCGAAAUACUUUUGCAUUUUAAGCUGGGAUUUUUUUUAAUUUUUUAAAAAACUUAUUUAUUUUUGAGAGAGAGAAUGGGGGAGGGGCAGAGAGAGAGGGAGAUACCAAAUCCAAAGCAGGCUCCAGGCUCUGAGCUGUCAGCACAGAGCCCAACGCCCUGCUUGAACUCACAGACCACAAGAACUCAUGGACCACGGGAUCAUCAUGUGAGCCAAAGUGGCCUCUGAGCCAAAGUUGGACUCUUAACCAACUCAGCCACUGAGGCACCCUUUUAAACAGAAGAGACCUGCCUCUGAUGGGGAAACUACAGGCCUUAAGGAAAAUAUUUAGGACCAAAGGAAGUUCUUCUUUCCCUGAAUAUUAUGGGCAACAUAUACAGCAACAUACCCACGGUGAGAGAAGAAACUCAGUUUGGAAAGCAAUAAGCUACAAAAAAUGGCAUAUGAAGUAGUAUACAGGUAAAUAUAAAGUAGAAGAAAAACAGAUGAGAGGCAUCUGCAGGUAAGAAAUAGAUGAUACUUCAAUUCCCCAAGGUUAUAGUUCAGCAGGAAAAACAGAUUAAAACAGCAUGAGUUGUAUUUUCUGCCUCAGUAUACUUACCUGUAUAAAUACAUACUAUAUAUGUAUAUAAUGUAUAAAUACAAAUAUAUACAUAUUUUAUGUGUAUAUGUGUCAGCUCUCAACCAGUCAGAGACACACACAUCAUGGGUGCAAUUCAUAAAACUCUGUGCCCCAAAUAGCAUCAUCAGCUCAUUUAAACAAUACAUUCUGAUUCCCAGGACUCAUCAGUGAAUUCCUCAUUAUCUUCCCUAGAAUUCCUCUUUACAUAUGUCCGUAUUUCAGGAUAAACAGAAACUACGUGUGUUGCAAGAAUGUUUUCCCAACAUCUUCAGUCCCGUUGAUCUGAUUCUACUUCGAAAGCUAACAUACUUUCAAGUUAAUCGGUUAUAUAUGAAACUCUAACUCCUUAAUUAUAAUUCCAUUAAACCAUAAGAAUCGAUCACAGUGGGCCUAAAUCAAGGUUGUGGCUGAAUGAACUGUAAAGUGAAGCUAUAAUCAGUGAAGAAUUAAUAGAAUUUGAUAGUGAGGCUAGGGUUGGGUUUUGGGUUUUUGGGUUUUGUUUUGAUUUGCUCUGGUUUUGUUGGUGUGUUGAUUGUGUAUCCCAGGUACUUAGAACAGUGCCUGAUACUUAGCAGUCACUCUACAAACACUUGUUGAAUGAAUGAAUGAGUGAAUGAAUGAAUGAACAGACACAUAGAGCAGGGAAAUUUGAGCUACAGAAUAUUAUACAAGCAGUGAAAUGCAUGUCAUUUUCUAAUCAUUUGGUGCCUUCAACACCUCUUCACAACACCUUGAAAAAAGUCUGUAAAUUUCAAACCACCUCUUUGCAAAUUGAUUUAAUGUCACUAAGCUCCACACAUUUACAGCCCACGCUUUUUCAGUUGCUAAGUGCACUGGAUUGUCACAGUAUGUUCCAGGGGCUCCAGAUUUCUCUCUCUCAAAUGCAAAAGAUGUGCUUCUCAUUGGAAGCAAAAUCCUUGUCUUUCAAAUACAAUAUUCUCUAAAGAGAAGAAACAGUACUCUUAGAUUUCUAUCAGUUCAUAUUAAAACUGCUGUCCCAAAGCAAGGGAAAGCUUAUGAGCUCCAAAAUUCAAUAAUAUUAUGUUACAACUUGGAACUCAAAGAAGAUUUAUAGAUUAGUUUUGCAUUAAUAGCUUCACUUCAUUAGGAAUAAAAAUCAUGACAUGCUACUGAAAAAAUUUAUUCCUGAUAUGCAUUGGUAGCUACUAUUGAGGAGAUGUAUUACAAGAGACUAACUUUUCUAAGUUAAUCAUAUAAACAAAAUUUAGGUAAAAGUUUAAUACUAUGAUGAAAAAAGGGGGUAAAAGGCUACAUCAAGAAAUAAGGAAGAACAUUUAAAUUUAAUACUGUGUGUAUAUAUAUAUAUAUAUAUAUAUACACACACACACAUAAGUUUAAGAAGUAUUUAUUGAAUGAGAAUACAAUAACAAAGUAGGGAGCAAUUGGAUAUAAAAUACAAUCUGUAGAUCUGAAGAGUUUAGAGACUCAUAGGAAAGGUUAGUCAUUAAUUCAGCAAGUUUUGUUUUAAUUUUUUUAAGUUUUUAUGUAUUUGAGAGGGGGGGUAAUGAGCGGGAGAUGGGCAGAAAGAGAGAAGGACAGAGGAUCUGAAGCAGGCCCUGUGCUGACAGCAGAGAGCCGGAUGCAGGGCUAGAACUCACGAACCGUGAGAUCAUGACCUGAGCCAAAGUCAGACACUUAAUCGACUGAACCACCCAGGCACCCCCAUUAAACAAGUUUUUAUCAGGGUGCUUCUCUGGGUAGUAAAUCUGAAUGGUUGCACUGUAGCUUUGGAUCACUUCAACAUAUGUCAUCAAAUUUAAACUUUUACUUUAAGAUUUUAUUCUGUUAUAAGGAAUACACGUGUUGUUGUUAAGAUUAAAUUAUAGAAACAAAAAGUGACUUUCCGUAACUACCACCACUAGGUGGGGUAACCACUAUUACAUUAUAGGGUAUCUUUUUCUUGAAAUAAGCAUUUACAAAUACAAAUGCCUCUUUUAAAAACAAAAAUGGUAUCAUACAAUGCACAGGGUCAGUAUAGCAUACUGCUUGAGAGCAUAGGCUUUAAGCAAUAUCACCUCAAUUCAAAUCCCAGCUCUACCACUAAGUUAACUUUCACAAGUUACUAUAGAUCUUAAUACCAAAAUUUUCUAAUCUUUAAAAUGGAAACAAUAUUAGUACAUAUGCCAUACUAUUAUUACCAAAGUGAAUACUCAUAAUCACUUAAGACAGAGCCUGGACGAACCCAACCAAUGUUAGUUAUUAUUACGCAAUUUGUGCUUUUAUUCAAGAUUAUAUUGUGGACCUCCUUCCUCUCUUUCAUUUUUUUUUUUUUUUGGAAGGAGCAAACAGUACCAUGGUACAGAUUUAUUGUAAUCCAUGUCAUACAUUCUUGUUAUUAUAUGUACAGAUUGCUCCAAGGUACUCACAAAGAAUGCUGCAAAUGAUAUCUUCGUGCCUGUACUUAAUACUUCCAAAGAAUAAAUGCCUUGAAAAAAAGUGGAUGGAUCAGAAGGGAUAAAUAUUUUAAGGUGUAUUUGAGAUAUUUCUGAGUUUCCUUCCAAAAUAUGGCAACUUAUGUUCGCACCAUAACAUACGAAGGACAACAUAUCUCCACAAGAUCUACACAGUCUUUUACGAUCUUUCGUGAAUAUUUUGCUGGAAGAAGACCAAAAGGGGAACUGAGCCUUAAAAGUACUUUUGUUUUCAUAUUCAAGAAAGGAAAAGACUUUUCUUU